RNAcentral lists this ribosomal RNA (468 nucleotides) under uncultured bacterium. RNAcentral describes it as "partial 16S ribosomal RNA". It matches the Rfam family "Bacterial small subunit ribosomal RNA", at positions 28 to 507 of the family's 1533-position model. The record is from RNAcentral.
GACGAACGCUGGCGGCGUGCUUAACACAUGCAAGUCGAACGGAAAGGCCCUGCUUUUGUGGGGUGCUCGAGUGGCGAACGGGUGAGUAACACGUGAGUAACAUGUCCUUGACUUUGGGAUAAAUUCAGGAAACUGGGGCUAAUACCGGAUAGGAGCUCCUGCUGCAUGGUGUGGGUUGGAGAGUUUCGGCGGUUGGGGAUGGACUCGCGGCUUAUCAGCUUGUUGGUGGGGUAGUGGCUGACCAAGGCUUUGACGGGUAGCCGGCCUGAGAGGGUGACCGGCCACAAUGGUACUGAGAUACGGCCCAGACGCGUACGGGAGGCAGCAGUGGGGAAUAUUGCACAAUGGGCGGAAGCCUGAUGCAGCAACGCCGCGUGCGGGAUGACGGCCUACGGGUUGUAAACCGCUUUCGCCUGUGACGAAGCGUGAGUGACGGUAAUGGGUAAAGAAGCACCGGCUAACUACGUG